Molecule: long non-coding RNA, 1416 nt
Organism: Gasterosteus aculeatus aculeatus (three-spined stickleback)
Lineage: Eukaryota; Metazoa; Chordata; Actinopteri; Perciformes; Gasterosteidae
Source: Ensembl
CUGCCCUGUUUGGUGAUGAUCAUCUCGGUCUGGUGCCGGUGGAAUUUCAGCCACAGAGGCCGGUUGCACAGAUAGACCUGCGCUCUGGCUCCGGCGGCAGACCCCGGCAGAGACAUGGAGCCAAUCCCUGGGCCCGUCCCGGGGUAGGAGGGGUACAAACAGCCCGGGCCCUGGCUGAACUGGUACCCUCCGCUGCUAAACUGACUCCGGCCGGUGCACACGGAGGAGGAGGAGAAGCCCGUGGGCGGCAACACUGAUCCGUAAUGAAGUGAAGCCGGGUACCUGGAGCCGCUGGAGCCGGUGUACACCGAGCCGGUCUGUCCUGCGUAAGGGAACAGGGAACAGGGGCUCGCCAUGUCGGAAGUGGCCUGGGUGGACGAGAUGAAGUAUCUGUCAGAGCCCAGCUCGUCAAGGUUGUAACGUCGAGCGCUCGUCAACUCGUCCUCGCCGAGCACCGGGGAGCCUUUCCUCCCAUCGGGCCCGGUUUUAGUGAAAGUGUCCCCCUCUCCCUCACCCAGCAUCCCGCCGAGGUACUUCUUGGGGCCGCUGCUGGACUCGGAUUCCGUCCGAUCGACUUCUUGGUAGUCGAGCUGCGAUGACGGCCUCGGGCUGUUGUUGGCACUGUCCGACGAUGAAAGAUUAUAAAAGGUCUUGGGUAAAUUAAUGCUGGCGCUGGGAAGGAUGUUCUCCAACUGCAUUGUUGACACCUUUGCAAUCAAACGAGAGUUUCGAGAGUUUCCGGAGGAGUGAAUCUCAGCCAAGGAGGCGACGUAACCACCGGCUCCCUGGUCUUGUUUCUGUUCUGUGCGCGCCUCCCUCCCUUACGAGUGAUGGAAGGAGGUGAAACCGGCUCCUCGCCUUUGGAUGAGCGGAUCAGGUUGUAGGCUGGGCUGUGGAUGUUCGGCGGCUCUUAUAAAGAUGUAGUUCCCCACACCCAGCCGAUCUGGAGCGGGAGGGGCGGAGCUUUCGGAGCAGCACGCGGGGGCAGCCAAUGGUCGCGCUACUCUAAUUCAAUUACAAAGCGUCUGGUGGAAAUCAUAUCAGGAGGAACAUUCUUCACAGGUGCUGUUGCGUUUAUUUUUACGCCCGCGUAGCGAACUUGACCGAAGUGACAAUCGAUCCGCGCGUUAAAUAUUUAAAAAGCAAAAUUAAAAAGUAAUCGACAACAGCCCUUAGGUCGUUAUCAAACAUGAGUAAAAAAGAAAUCACAAAGAGAGUAAAAAAAACAAACAUAACCUGUGUCUCGUUUAGCCAAAAGACAAAGCGACCAAAAGAAUUCGCACAUCAGCAGUCAAACUUUCAGCUCCGGCUUCGAGUCUUCGCGUAAAAUAUAUAUUCACGUACAGCUUGUCCGAUUACUUCCACGCCGACUGCAAAACACGGAGAGCGUGACCCCUCCUGCACGGACCCCAAACG